CCUACGGGGAGCAGCAGUGGGGAAUAUUGGGCAAUGGGCGAAAGCCUGACCCAGCAACGCCGCGUGAAGGAAGAAGGCUUUCGGGUUGUAAACUUCUUUUGACAGGGAAGAGCAGAAGACGGUACCUGUCGAAUAAGCCACGGCUAACUACGUGCCAGCAGCCGCGGUAAUACGUAGGUGGCAAGCGUUGUCCGGAUUUACUGGGGGUAAAGGGCGGGUAGCCGGGCUGACAAGUCAGAUGUGAAAUCCGGGGGCUCAACCCCCGAACUGCAUUUGAAACUGUUGGUCUUGAGUAUCGGAGAGGCAGGCGGAAUUCCUAGUGUAGCGGUGAAAUGCGUAGAUAUUAGGAGGAACACCAGUGGCGAAGGCGGCCUGCUGGACGACAACUGACGGUGAGGCGCGAAAGCGUGGGGAGCAAACAGGAUUAGAUACCCGUGUAGUC
This 442-nucleotide ribosomal RNA is filed under the name uncultured bacterium. RNAcentral describes it as "partial 16S ribosomal RNA". It matches the Rfam family "Bacterial small subunit ribosomal RNA", at positions 338 to 795 of the family's 1533-position model. The record is from RNAcentral.